AGCUCCAAUAGCGUAUAUUAAAGUUGUUGCAGUUAAAAAGCUCGUAGUUGGAUUUCUGGUUUGAUGCCCUGGCCCGCUGCUAUUUUGGUAGUGUGUGCCGGUUGUGCGUCUGCCAUCCUUCUAGGGAACGUUCCUUCUCUUCACUGAGCCGGGUUCGUGAUCUAGAUCGUUUACUUUGAAAAAAUUAGAGUGUUUAAAGCAGGCUUUGGCUAUGAAUACAUUAGCAUGGAAUAAUAAUCUAGGACUUCGGUCAUAUUUUGUUGGUUUCUGUAACUGAAGUAAUGAUUGAUAGGGAUAGUUGGGGGUGCUAGUAUUGAGCGGCCAGAGGUGAAAUUCUUGGAUUCGCUCAAGACUAACUUAUGCGAAAGCAUUCACCAAGGAUGUCUUCUUUA
This 392-nucleotide ribosomal RNA is filed under the name Ebria sp. Its description in RNAcentral is "partial small subunit ribosomal RNA". It matches the Rfam family "Eukaryotic small subunit ribosomal RNA", at positions 587 to 975 of the family's 1831-position model. The record is from RNAcentral. Lineage: Eukaryota; Cercozoa; Thecofilosea; Ebriacea.